This 125-nucleotide microRNA precursor is filed under the name Hordeum vulgare. RNAcentral describes it as "microRNA MIR1122". It matches the Rfam family "MIR1120/MIR1122 microRNA precursor family". The record is from RNAcentral. Lineage: Eukaryota; Viridiplantae; Streptophyta; Magnoliopsida; Poales; Poaceae.
AACAUACUCUCUCCGUCAGGAAUUACAUGUUGCGGAAAUAGAUGUAUUUGAAUAUAUUUUAGUUCUAGAUACAUUCAUUUUAAUCUAUUUAUGCUACAAGUAAUUCAGGAGGAAGGGAGUAUUAA